GGUUCUGUGGUGUAACGGUUAGCCCUCUGGACUCUGACUCUACUAGUCUGAGUUCAAAUCUCUGCAGAGCCU
This 72-nucleotide transfer RNA is filed under the name Oryzias latipes (Japanese medaka). It matches the Rfam family "tRNA". From Rfam's summary of the family: Transfer RNA (tRNA) molecules are approximately 80 nucleotides in length. Their secondary structure includes four short double-helical elements and three loops (D, anti-codon, and T loops). Further hydrogen bonds mediate the characteristic L-shaped molecular structure. tRNAs have two regions of fundamental functional importance: the anti-codon, which is responsible for specific mRNA codon recognition, and the 3' end, to which the tRNAs corresponding amino acid is attached (by aminoacyl-tRNA synthetases). tRNAs cope with the degeneracy of the genetic code in two manners: having more than one tRNA (with a specific anti-codon) for a particular amino acid; and 'wobble' base-pairing, i.e. permitting non-standard base-pairing at the 3rd anti-codon position. The record is from Rfam by way of RNAcentral. Lineage: Eukaryota; Metazoa; Chordata; Actinopteri; Beloniformes; Adrianichthyidae.